GCAGCCGCCGCGGGAAUACGGAGGAUCCAAGCGUUAUCCGGAAUCAUUGGGUUUAAAGGGUCCGUAGGCGGUCUUGUAAGUCAGUGGUGAAAGCCCAUCGCUCAACGGUGGAACGGCCAUUGAUACUGCAGGACUUGAAUUAUUGGGAAGUAACUAGAAUAUGUAGUGUAGCGGUGAAAUGCUUAGAGAUUACAUGGAAUACCAAUUGCGAAGGCAGGUUACUACCAAUUGAUUGACGCUGAUGGACGAAAGCGUGGGUAGCGAACAGGAUUAGAUACCCGAGUAGUCCCUGUCUAUUAUAC
Molecule: ribosomal RNA, 302 nt
Filed under: uncultured bacterium
Lineage: Bacteria
Description: partial 16S ribosomal RNA
Rfam family: Bacterial small subunit ribosomal RNA
Source: RNAcentral